RNAcentral lists this non-coding RNA (45 nucleotides) under Schistosoma margrebowiei. Lineage: Eukaryota; Metazoa; Platyhelminthes; Trematoda; Strigeidida; Schistosomatidae. The record is from RNAcentral.
AUCUAAUUGACGACUCCCGAAAAGGACGAAACGCGCGUCCUGGAU